Molecule: ribosomal RNA, 492 nt
Filed under: uncultured bacterium
Lineage: Bacteria
Description: partial 16S ribosomal RNA
Rfam family: Bacterial small subunit ribosomal RNA
Source: RNAcentral
AGUGAACGCUGGCGGUAGGCCUAACACAUGCAAGUCGAACGGCAGCACAGUAAGAGCUUGCUCUUACGGGUGGCGAGUGGCGGACGGGUGAGGAAUACAUCGGAAUCUACUUUUUCGUGGGGGAUAACGUAGGGAAACUUACGCUAAUACCGCAUACGACCUACGGGUGAAAGCGGGGGAUCUUCGGACCUUGCGCGAUUGAAUGAGCCGAUGUCGGAUUAGCUAGUUGGCGGGGUAAAGGCCCACCAAGGCGACGAUCCGUAGCUGGUCUGAGAGGAUGAUCAGCCACACUGGAACUGAGACACGGUCCAGACUCCUACGGGAGGCAGCAGUGGGGAAUAUUGGACAAUGGGCGCAAGCCUGAUCCAGCCAUACCGCGUGGGUGAAGAAGGCUUUCGGGUUGUAAAGCCCUUUUGUUGGGAAAGAAAAGCAGCAGGUUAAUACCCCGCUGUUCUGACGGUACCCAAAGAAUAAGCACCGGCUAACUUCGUG